GAGCGGCGAACGGGUGAGUAACACGUGGGUGAUCUGCCCUGCACUUCGGGAUAAGCCUGGGAAACUGGGUCUAAUACCGGAUAUGACCAAAGGCUGCAUGGCUUUUGGUGGAAAGGUUUACUGGUGCAGGAUGGGCCCGCGGCCUAUCAGCUUGUUGGUGGGGUAAUGGCCUACCAAGGCGACGACGGGUAGCCGACCUGAGAGGGUGACCGGCCACACUGGGACUGAGACACGGCCCAGACUCCUACGGGAGGCAGCAGUGGGGAAUAUUGCACAAUGGGCGAAAGCCUGAUGCAGCGACGCCGCGUGAGGGAUGACGGCCUUCGGGUUGUAAACCUCUUUCAGCAGGGACGAAGCGAGAGUGACGGUACCUGCAGAAGAAGCACCGGCCAACUACGUGCCAGCAGCCGCGGUAAUACGUAGGGUGCGAGCGUUGUCCGGAAUUACUGGGCGUAAAGAGCUCGUAGGCGGUUUGUCGCGUCGUCUGUGAAAACCAGCAGCUCAACUGCUGGCUUGCAGGCGAUACGGGCAGACUUGAGUACUGCAGGGGAGACUGGAAUUCCU
This 564-nucleotide ribosomal RNA is filed under the name Rhodococcus sp. 415D05. Its description in RNAcentral is "bacterial SSU rRNA". It matches the Rfam family "Bacterial small subunit ribosomal RNA", at positions 93 to 671 of the family's 1533-position model. Lineage: Bacteria; Bacillati; Actinomycetota; Actinomycetes; Mycobacteriales; Nocardiaceae. The record is from RNAcentral.